RNAcentral lists this long non-coding RNA (274 nucleotides) under Camelus dromedarius (Arabian camel). RNAcentral's name for it is "lncRNA (ENSCDRG00005015264.1)". The record is from RNAcentral. Lineage: Eukaryota; Metazoa; Chordata; Mammalia; Artiodactyla; Camelidae.
AAAGGGGAAAGCUUCUUGAAAUAGCUGGGACACUCUUGAGAGCCUUCAAAGAGAAGGAAUUCACCUGGAAAGGGGCUGGAGAAAGGCCCCUCCAUCCAAGAAAGUAUGAGGAAAAUUGGACUGGAUGAGGCUGAGCAUCACCUGGCACACGGGCCCAGGCCUGGGCUUCAUGGACAUGGAGAAUAUAUCUUCAAGCUCUGGGGAAUACAGGACUCUACCCCCUUCACCUCGCCAUAGUGCUGGUCAGUAUUUAGUAUCUAUCCAUAGAUGCAGG